Hippocampus zosterae (dwarf seahorse) is the source of this 290-nucleotide long non-coding RNA. RefSeq lists it as uncharacterized. Lineage: Eukaryota; Metazoa; Chordata; Actinopteri; Syngnathiformes; Syngnathidae. The transcript has 2 exons. The record is from RefSeq and is a predicted model, not a curated record.
GACACAGGAUACAUACUGGAUACAACCUUCAAGUAACAAGAAAGGAGGAUGACAGAUGGAAUGAGGAUUAAAAAAAGAAGAAGAACAACAACAACAAAACUGUUGGUAUUGACGCAUGCGCGUCGUAGUGGGUGGGUGGGUGGGUGGGUUUCAGUCAAGAAAGUCCCAGAGGGCAUGGGUGCAAAAAUCUAUCCCCCUUUUUCUUGUUCGCCUGGGGAAUCCAAACAAUCAUUCAAAACAGUGAACAUCAAGAGAGGGCAGUCACUUUGUCAGUUCAUGGUCAGCCUACA